This 1381-nucleotide ribosomal RNA is filed under the name uncultured prokaryote. RNAcentral describes it as "partial 16S ribosomal RNA". It matches the Rfam family "Bacterial small subunit ribosomal RNA", at positions 29 to 1393 of the family's 1533-position model. The record is from RNAcentral.
AUUAACGCUGGCGGCAGGCCUAACACAUGCAAGUCGGGCGAGAAAGCACUUCGGUGUGAGUAGAGCGGCGGACGGGUGAGUAACGCGUAGGAAUUUGCCCAGAGUGGGGGGACCCAGUAGUGGGGGACAACAUGUGGAAACGCAUGCUAAUACCGCAUACGCCCUACGGGGGAAAGCAGGGGAUCUUCGGACCUUGCGCUAUUGGAGAAGCCUGCGUCGGAUUAGCUAGUUGGUGGGGUAAAGGCCCACCAAGGCGACGAUCCGUAGCUGGUCUGAGAGGAUGAUCAGCCACACUGGGACUGAGACACGGCCCCGACUCCUACGGGAGGCAGCAGUGGGGAAUAUUGCACAAUGGGCGAAAGCCUGAUGCAGCAACGCCGCGUGUGUGAAGGAGGCCUUCGGGUCGUAAAGCACUGUCGAGUAGAACGAGCCGGUCGUGGUUAAUACCCGCGGCCCCGACGGUACUACUUGAGGAAGCACCGGCUAACUCCGUGCCAGCAGCCGCGGUAAUACGGAGGGUGCAAGCGUUGUUCGGAAUUAUUGGGCGUAAAGCGUGCGUAGGCGGACUGUUAAGUCUGAUGUGAAAUCCCUCGGCUCAACCGAGGACGUGCAUUGGAUACUGGCAGCCUUGAAUCCUGGAGAGGGUGGCGGAAUUCCCAGUGUAGAGGUGAAAUUCGUAGAGAUUGGGAGGAACACCAGCGGCGAAGGCGGCCACCUGGACAGUGAUUGACGCUAAGGUACGAAAGCGUGGGUAGCAAACAGGAUUAGAUACCCUGGUAGUCCACGCCGUAAACGAUGGCUACUAGUUGGUGCGGGUAUUGACCCCUGCGCUGACGAAGCUAACGCAUUAAGUAGCCCGCCUGGGGAGUACGGCCGCAAGGCUAAAACUCAAAGGAAUUGACGGGGGCCCGCACAAGCGGUGGAGCAUGUGGUUUAAUUCGACGCAACGCGAAGAACCUUACCUGGCCUUGACAUCCCGAGAAAGCCCUAGAAAUAGGGAAGUGCCCUUUGGGGAACUUGGUGACAGGUGCUGCAUGGCUGUCGUCAGCUCGUGUCGUGAGAUGUUGGGUUAAGUCCCGCAACGAGCGCAACCCCUGCCUUUAGUUGCCAUCAUUAAGUUGGGCACUCUAGAGGGACUGCCGGUGUCAAACCGGAGGAAGGUGGGGAUGACGUCAAGUCCUCAUGGCCUUUAUGACCAGGGCUACACACGUACUACAAUGGCAUGUACAAAGGGCAGCGAGCACGCGAGUGUCAGCGAAUCCCAUAAAGCAUGUCUCAGUCCGGAUUGGAGUCUGCAACUCGACUCCAUGAAGUUGGAAUCGCUAGUAAUCGUGGAUCAGCAUGCAACGGUGACUACGUUCCAGGGAAUUGUACACACCGC